AAUUGUCCACACAUAAUUGCAGUAUCAUUCAUAAUGAUAUCACAAAAAUCAUUCUUUAUUAUAAACUUAAAACCAAAUUUGGCCAAAAGACCUAUAGAGAUGACAUUCAUAAAAAAAGAAGGACAAUAAUGACAAUCAUCUAACAUGAUACUACUGGACUCGAAGACACGUUGUAAAGUUCUCAAGGUCUGAACUGGAAC
Molecule: long non-coding RNA, 200 nt
Filed under: Elaeis guineensis (African oil palm)
Lineage: Eukaryota; Viridiplantae; Streptophyta; Magnoliopsida; Arecales; Arecaceae
Description: long non-coding RNA (EGUI_LNC014266)
Source: RNAcentral